RNAcentral lists this unclassified non-coding RNA (176 nucleotides) under Sarocladium implicatum. RNAcentral describes it as "sequence contains ITS2". Lineage: Eukaryota; Fungi; Ascomycota; Sordariomycetes; Hypocreales; Sarocladiaceae. The record is from RNAcentral.
CAACCCUCGGGCCCACCCUUCACGGGGAUCGGGCCCGGCGUUGGGGACCGGAGGCCGCCUCGGCGGCACCCGCCCCCUAAAUUCAGUGGCGGUCGCGCCGCAGCCUCCCCUGCGUAGUAGCACACCUCGCACCGGAGAGCGGCACGGCCACGCCUCGAAACCCCCUAAUUUAUCAA